Molecule: ribosomal RNA, 450 nt
Filed under: uncultured bacterium
Lineage: Bacteria
Description: bacterial SSU rRNA
Rfam family: Bacterial small subunit ribosomal RNA
Source: RNAcentral
GUUUCGAAUUUUUCGCAAUGGGCGAAAGCCUGACGGAGCGACGCCGCGUGGGGGAUGAAGGUCUUCGGAUUGUAAACCCCUGUCAGCUGGGAACAACGCCUCGGCGCUAACACCGCUGAGGUUUGAUAGUACCGGCAGAGGAAGCCGUGGCUAACUCUGUGCCAGCAGCCGCGGUAAUACAGAGACGGCAAGCGUUGUUCGGAUUUAUUGGGCGUAAAGGGUCCGCAGGUGGCGAGGUAAGUCUGACGUGAAAUCCCGCGGCUCAACCGCGGAACUGCGUCGGAUACUGCUUCGCUGGAGGUUGGUAGAGGAGUCUGGAAUUCACGGUGUAGCAGUGAAAUGCGUAGAUAUCGUGAGGAACACCGGUGGCGAAGGCGAGACUCUGGGCCAUACCUGACACUCAUGGACGAAAGCGUGGGGAGCAAACGGGAUUAGAAACCCGGGUAGUCC